This 485-nucleotide ribosomal RNA is filed under the name uncultured bacterium. RNAcentral describes it as "SSU rRNA". It matches the Rfam family "Bacterial small subunit ribosomal RNA", at positions 26 to 518 of the family's 1533-position model. The record is from RNAcentral.
AGGAUUAACGCUGGCGGCGUGCAUGAAACAUGCAAGUCGAGCGCGGUGUGAUGCGGGGUAACCCAAUUCACAUCUAGCGGCGAACGGGUGAGUAACACGUGAGCAACCUACCUUUGAGUUGGGGAUAGCCCUGGGAAACCAGGAUUAAUACCCGAUGUGGUCACAACAGGACAUCCUGAUGUGAGUAAAGGCGUAAGCCGCUCAAUGACGGGCUCGCGGCCUAUUAGCUUGUUGGUGGGGUAACGGCCUACCAAGGCGAUGAUGGGUAGCUGGUCUGAGAGGACGAUCAGCCACACUGGGACUGAGACACGGCCCAGACUCCUACGGGAGGCAGCAGUUAGGAAUUUUCCGCAAUGGGCGAAAGCCUGACGGAGCAACGCCGCGUGAGUGAUGAAGACCUUCGGGUUGUAAAGCUCUGUCGGAGGGGAAGAACACAAUGACGGUACCCUCCAAGAAAGCCCGGCUAACUACGUGCCAGCAGCCGC